UUUGCCCAGGAAAGGCUCCUUGAUGGUGAAAAAGAAAAGAGCUGCAUUGUUGAUAAAAUGUUGCAGUGUUUGCCUGCCAGACAACUUGGUGUAGAGACUCACCAUGUUGAGGGCAGGGACGGUGGGCCGCCUUCAGACCUCUGACGGCUGAGCACAGACGUCCACGAGGUGUUUGUUGACAGCCCAUUUGAAUACUGCCUUUUUAGGGCCUCCUCACUCCUUAGGAGGCCAGUCAAGUCCGGGUAUGUUUCCAUGAGGCCAUUCUCAUCUCCUGAAAUAGAGAGAGGGGAACAGUUAGUAUGGAAAACAUCUCUCUUUUUAAACCUGGUGUGGAUGAGUGAAAACAAUGACUUAUUCAAUAAUCUAAGCAGAGUCUGUUGUCCAUGAAUCAUACUGCAUACAGAAAGGUCUCUUGCAUCUGCAAAGGGAAGAGGAGCGGAGCAUUGUCACCAUGUCCCCGUAGCAUUCUGAAGGCUCGUUCACUGUGCAGAGACACAUGAUAACUGUAUGAGUGAAGAAAUGUCACGCAGGACCUCAGAGUCACCCUCCGUCGCCGAGAGUGGCCAGGAUGACUCUCCCGGGAAGCCUGUCUUCUCGCCCCGGGACGUGAUGGAUGGAGUCUGAUCGUAAUUAAUUUUAAUAGAGACCUGACGUGAUGUGAUAGAAUCUUGGCCAUUCGAAUGAAGUAGAACCAGCCAGCCAGCUUGGACAAAAACAAUCAGUUCUCCCUCACCAUUGGCUUUAGGACAAGUCAAAUCCAAUUAAACAGUGUUCAUUGGUGGAGUGAUUUUGUGCCCAGCACUAUAAAGGGUGUACAAAAGAAGGGCCAGUCUGACACCCGCUGUCUGAGCUGGACAGAGAGGAAAUACCAUGAAAUAAUAAUGGGUACCGUCUGUUGAGCCCCUGACUUACGCGCCACGCACUGUGAUGUGCUCGGUGUACACGAUCGCG
Molecule: long non-coding RNA, 951 nt
Organism: Eptesicus fuscus (big brown bat)
Lineage: Eukaryota; Metazoa; Chordata; Mammalia; Chiroptera; Vespertilionidae
Exons: 5
Source: RefSeq, a predicted model, not a curated record